This 398-nucleotide long non-coding RNA is filed under the name Phoenix dactylifera (date palm). Its description in RNAcentral is "long non-coding RNA (PDAC_LNC011194)". The record is from RNAcentral. Lineage: Eukaryota; Viridiplantae; Streptophyta; Magnoliopsida; Arecales; Arecaceae.
UUUUGUGGAUGAAAAUCAAGAUGAAUACCCCAAACAUAAACCUGACAUUGUGAAGUGAAACGAAUGCAAGAGAUGCAAAUAAAACCAAAAAUGCUUAAAAAUACUUAAAAAUACCCCCAAACCUAAACCUAACAUUGUCCUCAAUGUUAAAGAAAUUUAAGAGAAUUGGGUUGCCUCCCAACAAGCGCUAAGUUUAUUGUCUUCAGCCAGACACAGUGCAUCCUUAAUUAUUUUGAUAAACAGGAUUCGUCAAAUUAAGAGAUUCGAUCAAUUGCCCAUCGGUAACACAGUCCACAUAAGGUUUUAACCUUUGACCAUUGACUUUUAAAAUAUGUCCACCAUUGAGGUGUUGGAUCUCUACUGCGCCAUAAGGAAAAAUAUUUUUCACUACGAAUGGU